This 301-nucleotide ribosomal RNA is filed under the name uncultured bacterium. RNAcentral describes it as "partial 16S ribosomal RNA". It matches the Rfam family "Bacterial small subunit ribosomal RNA", at positions 509 to 809 of the family's 1533-position model. The record is from RNAcentral.
CAGCAGCCACGGUAAUACGUAGGUGGCAAGCGUUGUCCGGAAUUAUUGGGCGUAAAGGGCUCGCAGGCGGUUUCUUAAGUCUGAUGUGAAAGCCCCCGGCUCAACCGGGGAGGGUCAUUGGAAACUGGGAAACUUGAGUGCAGAAGAGGAGAGUGGAAUUCCACGUGUAGCGGUGAAAUGCGUAGAGAUGUGGAGGAACACCAGCGGCGAAGGCGACUCUCUGGUCUGUAACUGACGCUGAGGAGCGAAAGCGUGGGGAGCGAACAGGAUUAGAUACCCGAGUAGUCCCUGUCUCUUAUAA